Molecule: ribosomal RNA, 263 nt
Filed under: uncultured bacterium
Lineage: Bacteria
Description: partial 16S ribosomal RNA
Rfam family: Bacterial small subunit ribosomal RNA
Source: RNAcentral
GUCCACGCCCUAAACGAUGUCAACUAGUUGUCGGGUCUUAAUUGACUUGGUAACGCAGCUAACGCGUGAAGUUGACCGCCUGGGGAGUACGGUCGCAAGAUUAAAACUCAAAGGAAUUGACGGGGACCCGCACAAGCGGUGGAUGAUGUGGAUUAAUUCGAUGCAACGCGAAAACCUUACCUACCCUUGACAUGGUCGGAAUCCCGAAGAGAUUUGGGAGUGCUCGAAAGAGAACCGGCGCACAGGUGCUGCAUGGCUGUCGU